GGCUUAACACAUGCAAGUCGAGGGGUAACAUUGUGCUUGCACAGAUGACGACCGGCGCACGGGUGCGUAACGCGUAUAGAACCUACCUUUUACAGAGGAAUAGCCUUUAGAAAUGAAGAUUAAUGCCUCAUGGUAUUGUAGACUGGCAUCAGUUUAUAAUUAAAGAUUUAUCGGUAAAAGAUGGCUAUGCGUCCUAUUAGUUAGUUGGUAAGGUAACGGCUUACCAAGACAGCGAUAGGUAGGGGUCCUGAGAGGGAGAUCCCCCACACUGGUACUGAGACACGGACCAGACUCCUACGGGAGGCAGCAGUGAGGAAUAUUGGACAAUGGAGGAGACUCUGAUCCAGCCAUGCCGCGUGUAGGAAGAAUGCCCUAUGGGUUGUAAACUACUUUUAUACAGGAAGAAACACUGGUAUGUAUACCAGCUUGACGGUACUGUAAGAAUAAGGACCGG
This 454-nucleotide ribosomal RNA is filed under the name uncultured Polaribacter sp. RNAcentral's name for it is "bacterial SSU rRNA". It matches the Rfam family "Bacterial small subunit ribosomal RNA", at positions 45 to 496 of the family's 1533-position model. The record is from RNAcentral. Lineage: Bacteria; Pseudomonadati; Bacteroidota; Flavobacteriia; Flavobacteriales; Flavobacteriaceae.